Molecule: non-coding RNA, 541 nt
Organism: Heterocephalus glaber (naked mole-rat)
Lineage: Eukaryota; Metazoa; Chordata; Mammalia; Rodentia; Bathyergidae
Source: RefSeq, a predicted model, not a curated record
CUCCACAGAGAAGCUGCAGGCCUCCCAGGGGGCGGGGGCUCUGGAGAUGUGGGCAGCAGGAGUGGAGGGCACUCUCAAAUCCGAAACAACUGUUAACAGUGUGAGCCUCAGCUGGAGCCUGGUUCCAAUGUAAAAGUGAGAUGAUGGAAUCUCAGAGCCACAAAGCCACUUGCCCACGGUUGCGCAGAUGGGAAGAGGAGGAGCUAGACACAAGUGUUCCCAGCUGCGAUUGCUCGGACCCUCACUUGGUGGUUCCUGUUGCCUCCAAUCUCACAAAGCUCUACCCACCCCCGGCCCCCGCGUCCCAAGAACACUUCUCAGCCUCUCUGCAGUUAUUCAUGGCUCCCUGCCACCCUCCUGGCUCUGGAGCCAACUGUUUGGUUCCAGAUCUCAGCCCACCACUUCCAGCUUCAUGUGACUUUGCAAUUGCUGUCGUCCCUGUGUAUCUGCAGGGGACUGGUUCCAGAACUCCCUGUGAAUGUUAAAACCCAUGGAUGCUCAAGUGCUUUAUAUAAAAUUCUGUACUAUUUGCACAUAACCU